RNAcentral lists this ribosomal RNA (463 nucleotides) under uncultured bacterium. RNAcentral's name for it is "partial 16S ribosomal RNA". It matches the Rfam family "Bacterial small subunit ribosomal RNA", at positions 28 to 507 of the family's 1533-position model. The record is from RNAcentral.
GACGAACGCUGGCGGCGUGCUUAACACAUGCAAGUCGAACGGAAAGGCCUUUUCUGAUGUACUCUAGUGGCGAACGGGUGAGUAACACGUGGGUGAUCUGCCCUGCACUCGGGGGUAAGCCUGGGAAACUGGGUCUAAUUCCGGAUAGGACCGCGCGUGAGUGUGUGGGGGGGAAUGUUUUUUCAGUGUAGGAUGAGCCCGCGGCCUAGCAGCUUUUUGUUGUGGUAAUGGCCUACCAAGGCGGCGACGGGUAUCCGGACUGAGAGGCUGGUCGGCAACAUUGGGACUGAGGUAAGGCACAGACGCCUACGGGAGGAAGAAGGGGGGAAUAUUGCACAAUGGGCGCAAGCCUGAUGCAGAGACGCCGCGUGGGGGAUGACGGCCUUAGGGUUGAAAAAUCCUUUCGACAGGGACGAAGCGUUUUGUGACGGUACCUGGAGAAGAAGCACCGGCUAACUACGUG